CCUACGGGUGGCAGCAGUAGGGAAUAUUGCUCAAUGGGGGAAACCCUGAAGCAGCAACGCCGCGUGGCUGAUGAAGGUUUUCGGAUUGUAAACUCCUUUUGUUAGAGAAGAUAAUGACGGUAUCUCACGAAUACGCACUGGCUAACUCCGUGCCCGCAGCCGGGGUAAUACGGAGGGUGCAAGCGUUACUCGGACUAACUGGGCGUAAAGCGCGCGUAGGCGGGUUAGCAAGUCAGAUGUGAAAUCCUAUGGCUUAACCAUAGAACUGCAUUUGAAACUGUUAUGCGAGAGGAUGGGAGAGGUAGGUGGAAUUCUUGGUGUAGGGGUAAAAUCCGUAGAUAUCAAGAGGAAUACUCAUUGCGAAGGCGACCUGCUAGAACAUAACUGACGCUGAUGCGCGAAAGCGUGGGGAGCAAACAGGAUUAGAUACCCUUGUAGUC
RNAcentral lists this ribosomal RNA (440 nucleotides) under uncultured bacterium. RNAcentral describes it as "partial 16S ribosomal RNA". It matches the Rfam family "Bacterial small subunit ribosomal RNA", at positions 338 to 795 of the family's 1533-position model. The record is from RNAcentral.